GGACCCGCACAAGCGGUGGAGUAUGUGGUUUAAUUCGAUGCAACGCGAAGAACCUUACCAGGGUUUGACAUCCUGCGAAUCUCUUGGAAACAGGAGAGUGCCUUCGGGAACGCAGUGACAGGUGGUGCAUGGCUGUCGUCAGCUCGUGUCGUGAGAUGUUGGGUUAAGUCCCGCAACGAGCGCAACCCACGUCUUUAGUUGCCAGCAUUUAGUUGGGAACUCUAAAGAGACUGCCGGUGAUAAGCCGGAGGAAGGUGGGGACGACGUCAAGUCCUCAUGGCCCUUACGGGAUGGGCUACACACGUGCUACAAUGGCAGUGACAAUGGGUUAACCCCCAAAACUGUCUCAGUUCGGAUUGGAGUCUGCAACUCGACUCCAUGAAGUCGGAAUCGCUAGUAAUCG
This 403-nucleotide ribosomal RNA is filed under the name uncultured bacterium. Its description in RNAcentral is "bacterial SSU rRNA". It matches the Rfam family "Bacterial small subunit ribosomal RNA", at positions 917 to 1344 of the family's 1533-position model. The record is from RNAcentral.